RNAcentral lists this long non-coding RNA (398 nucleotides) under Phoenix dactylifera (date palm). RNAcentral describes it as "long non-coding RNA (PDAC_LNC013513)". The record is from RNAcentral. Lineage: Eukaryota; Viridiplantae; Streptophyta; Magnoliopsida; Arecales; Arecaceae.
AUAUUCUAUUAAAUUCACUUAUAUCUAGUGAGCAGUAAAGUACAUUAAUUGCUUUAGCAUUUAAUUAUGCAAGUCGUCUAUCACUCUCAUUCCAAUCCAUUUCAGGCUUAGAAAUGAUUGUGCCCUCUAUACUAACUGUGGGUGUGUGUGGCCCCCUAGUUACAAUGUUCCACAUGUCAUAGUCUAGUGCUUGAAUGAAUAUCCUCAUCCUAGCUUUCCAAUAAGUAUAAUUAGUGCCAUUAAACAAGGAUGGUCUAUUUGUGGAUUGUCCCUCGCUAAUAGAACAUCCUACUUGGGUUGUCAUGAUCUUUGAAUCUUGAUCGUAAGAUCAACAAAUACUAUGAGAGCACCUCGCUCUGAUACCACUUGUUGCCCAAGGUGACAAGCCAAGAGGGGGG